CCUACGGUGUGCAGCAGUGGGGAAUAUUGGGCAAUGGGCGCAAGCCUGAACCAGCAACGCCGCGUGAAGGAAGAAGGCUUUCGGGUUGUAAACUUCUUUUAUGCGGGACGUAACAAAUGACGGUACCUCAUGAAUCAGCCACGGCUAACUACGUGCCAGCAGCCGCGGUAAUACGUAGGUGGCAAGCGUUCUCCGGAUUUACUGGGUGUAAAGGUCGUGUAGGCGGGACUGCAAGUCAGAUGUGAAAAUUAUGGGCUCAACACAUAAGCUGCAUUUGAAACUGUAGUUCUUGAGUGAUGGUGAGGCAGGCGGAAUUCCGGGUGUAGCGGUGAAAUGCGUAGAUAUACGGAGGAACACCAGUGGCGAAGGCAGCCUGCUAGACAAUAACUGACGCUGAGGCGCGAAAGCGUGGGGAGCAAACAGGAUUAGAUACCCUAGUAGUC
RNAcentral lists this ribosomal RNA (443 nucleotides) under uncultured bacterium. Its description in RNAcentral is "partial 16S ribosomal RNA". It matches the Rfam family "Bacterial small subunit ribosomal RNA", at positions 338 to 795 of the family's 1533-position model. The record is from RNAcentral.